Long non-coding RNA from Schistocerca americana (American grasshopper), 1797 nucleotides. RefSeq lists it as uncharacterized. Lineage: Eukaryota; Metazoa; Arthropoda; Insecta; Orthoptera; Acrididae. The record is from RefSeq and is a predicted model, not a curated record. The transcript is spliced from 5 exons.
UCCAGCAGUCGCCAUCUUAAUAUUAGUGCUCCGAAAGAUAACUUGUCGUAUUUGUGGAUAUCGUGUUAAUACUUGCGUAGCCCAAAAAUAUGCGGUUUCAGUGAUACAGCUAUUAAAGAUAUCGCCGAAAUGUGCCGUUUGCAGUACAGAUUUGUGGUACUACAGUCGCAUAAAGUCCGAUAACGGCAUAUAAUAAUGUUAUUUAGUUUGUAACGCUCAAUUUUUCAGUUUUUUUUAGGGUCUUUCCGAUUUACAUGUGUGGUGUGUGUCACUGUAACAGCGUUCUUGUGUUUAUUGGAGGAGUGUCUGUUGCAGUGGGAGAUGCCUGAUGGCCACAAUAGUGUGCAGGACCCAUUAGGCUUCGAAGAGGAAUGUUCACCUCCAGAAGACUUUCUUGCACAUUCAGUAUUGAGAAGACUGAGGACGAGGGAGAUAAGGAGGCUAUGAACGAGGACCACUUUGAGGACUUGAAACAUGAAGUGGAGUCAGCAAGUAGCGGCAUUGAACCAGAAAGAAACAAGUUCUACAGAGACAGUCCUGUGGCUCAAGUAAAUUUCUGACUUUUAUUAAAAGAUAAAACAAUACAUUCCACUCAAGGUAAUUCCUGACAUUCUUAAAAGUUCUUAGCUAAAGCAGAAAGAACUAGACCUAUUGUAUUGUUGUAACUUCAACAGAAAUGUAAUAUUUAUGAGUAUUGAUAGUUAAAUAAUGAACAUUUUGAGUACAUAUUUCACAAAUUAUUUGACUUUCCAUCAGAAAAAAUUGGACAGAAAUCCGAAAAUAUCAUCUAAUUUUAUAUUGACAUGUUAAAUAUAAAACACUUUUUAAUUGCAUAGGUUGUGAUACAUGUAAGGAAAACUCACCAGUAUUACAUAAAGUUUAGAAAAUUUUUGAUGUGCUGACAAAUGUCAUUAUAUAAAAUACUAUAUUCAAAUUUUUCUAGCCUUUAUCUUAGCAAAAGUUUCUAAAAUAGAAUCUAAGUCUACUGACUUCAAGGGACCACUUUCAAUCAUUAAUCGUCCUUGAGAAAUUAUUGACCUAAGAUAUAUCUUUAUCAAUUUGAGUUUCGAAAAAUUCAGAAUUUUACAGUUCAAAUAAAUUUUUACCAACUGGGGCAAUAUUUGAUACUGAAAUUAAUGGCAGCUCGUACCCACACAUAUAUAAUUAGGUGGUGCAAAAAUCUCCUUUGUGGACCCAAGUUUGCUGGAACAUUUUUGCUUCUAUUAUCGCACUCUCAACAGUGUCAGUUUUCACUGCUAGUUAUUAUAGACCCUGCAUACAAGUUUUGCACUUGUAUACCUCAGGAGCCCCUCUCAGCUCGGCACCCAAAGUGGCUCCAUGUGUCACUGGGUCUUAAAGUAGCCCUGAAACUGCAACUACUCUGGUGAGUUACUGAGUACCAGAUUAAUAUUAUCUGAUGAUAACCUGAUAACAAGUAGAGACUGGCAGUGAAAAUAUGCACCCCAUAUACGAUAUUUUCGCUAAAAUAAAAAGUUAAUAGCAAAACUGAAAUCCAUACAAUGCACACUGAAAAGAUGGAUACCAAUGUUGGAAAGUAUCAAAAUGAAUGACCUCUGAAACAAAGUCAAGGAGUAAUUCACACUAUUAGGUUGGUACACAAGUUUGUACCUUUUUCGUUUUGCAUGUUGGUAUUCCGGUUGCUUUGGGUUUAUUUACAGAUUGUCAUUUUUUACUUUUAGUUCACCAUUGCUAUAACAAUGGUAAUUACUGCGCAAACAGCUCUAUCCAUUACCAUGGAACAAGAGCUAGACUCAACUUACAUUUACCAAAAAAAAA